RNAcentral lists this ribosomal RNA (665 nucleotides) under uncultured bacterium. RNAcentral describes it as "bacterial SSU rRNA". It matches the Rfam family "Bacterial small subunit ribosomal RNA", at positions 111 to 794 of the family's 1533-position model. The record is from RNAcentral.
UAACGCGUGGGUAACCUGCCUCAUACAGGGGGAUAACAGUUAGAAAUGACUGCUAAUACCGCAUAAGCGCACGAGGAUGCAUGUUCUUGUGUGAAAAACUCCGGUGGUAUGAGAUGGACCCGCGUCUGAUUAGCUAGUUGGAGGGGUAACGGCCCACCAAGGCGACGAUCAGUAGCCGACCUGAGAGGGUGACCGGCCACAUUGGGACUGAGACACGGCCCAAACUCCUACGGGAGGCAGCAGUGGGGAAUAUUGCACAAUGGGCGAAAGCCUGAUGCAGCAACGCCGCGUGAGCGAUGAAGGCCUUCGGGUCGUAAAGCUCUGUCCUCAAGGAAGAUAAUGACGGUACUUGAGGAGGAAGCCCCGGCUAACUACGUGCCAGCAGCCGCGGUAAUACGUAGGGGGCGAGCGUUAUCCGGAUUUACUGGGUGUAAAGGGAGCGUAGGCGGCAGCGCAAGUCAGAAGUGAAAGCCCAAGGCUCAACCAUGGGACUGCUUUUGAAACUGUACAGCUAGAUUGCAGGAGAGGUAAGUGGAAUUCCUAGUGUAGCGGUGAAAUGCGUAGAUAUUAGGAGGAACACCAGUGGCGAAGGCGGCUUACUGGACGAUAACUGACGCUGAGGCUCGAAAGCGUGGGGAGCAAACAGGAUUAGAUACCCUGGUAGU